Chenopodium quinoa (quinoa) is the source of this 1663-nucleotide RNA transcript. It is a transcript of the gene named glutamate 5-kinase-like, with no coding region annotated. NCBI's taxonomy places the organism in Eukaryota, Viridiplantae, Streptophyta, Magnoliopsida, Caryophyllales, Amaranthaceae. The transcript has 13 exons. The record is from RefSeq and is a predicted model, not a curated record.
GAAAGCAAGGGAAAGCAUGUCCUUUUCCUACGGAGCAAAUCUGAGUGAUAAACUGCUAAAAUUCCAGCAUUUAAACUGAAGCACAAUCAUUGAUUUUACACAAAAUCAACCACGAUUUUCAUGGAGAAAGGCACUCCAACGCCACUCACUACACCUCUUCGCUGCAUCGUCAAGCUCGGGGGUGCAGCAAUUACUUGCAAGAAUGAAUUGGAGAAGAUAAAUGAAGAAAAUCUGAGAGCGGUUUCGAUACACUUGAGAGAAGCAAUGAUGUCUGGUGAAGUUGUGGAUAUGGAUUGGAGUAAAAGGCCUGGGAAAGCAGAUGUUUCUGUAAAUGUAGAUGGCAUUUCAGAUCAAAUAACAAUGGAGUCCAGCAACUUUGUUGUUGUUCAUGGAGCUGGCUCAUUCGGUCAUUUUCAAGCCAGCAAAUCAAGGGUACACAAGGGAGGAUUGGAUCAGUCUCUUGUCAAAGCCGGCUUUGUUGCGACCAGAAUUUCAGUCGCAUCACUCAAUCUUGAAAUUGUGAGGGCACUAGCUCGAGAGGGUAUCCCUUCAGUUGGAAUAUCUCCAUUUUCGGGUGGAUGGACAACAUUUCAGAGAAAUGUUGCUUCCGCUGAUGUCACAACGGUGGCUAAAACUAUUGACUCUGGCUUCAUCCCUGUCCUGCAUGGGGAUGCAGUGCUUGAUCAUUCACAGGGUUGCACAAUUUUGAGUGGGGAUGUUAUUAUACGGCAUAUUGCAGAAAUCUUGAAGCCUGAAUAUGUUGUUUUCCUUACAGAUGUUUUUGGUGUAUAUGACCGUCCGCCAUCAGAACCUGAUGCAAUGUUGUUAAAAGAGAUAGCUGUCGAUGAAGAAGGAAGCUGGCGUGUUGUGAAUCCAGCCCCGAAAUCUAUAAAUGAACAAGUUGAGAUAACUGUUGCUGCUCAUGAUACAACCGGAGGCAUGGUGACCAAAAUUUCCGAAGCAGCAGCUAUUGCAAAACUUGGUAUUGAUGUAUAUAUCGUAAAGGCAGCCACAGAUCAUUCCUUGAAGGCCUUAAAAGGGGAAGUAAAAGGGAAAAUUCCUGAUGAUUGGAUGGGUACAGCCAUCCGUUUUAUGAGAAAAUAAUUAUCAACAGCUUGUCAUGUGCAUCAGAGGCAGCAUAAUCAUAUAUAAUCCGUUACCUCUGGAGGAGCUGCACAAACCCUUCAAGUGCUUCAUCAAUGUCAUCGCUUUUCAUCAGUUCCUCUGCUGCUGCUGCAGGGGUAACUUGUACCUCUUUGAUCAGCUCUUCAAUUUGAGUGAACAAAGGAUGGCUACCGAUGUUGAGAUAGUUAGAGGCUAAAACUGUAAACCCACCAAAAAGUUAAAUAAGACAAAUGAAUGUGCAUGUCCAUUCGGCCUGGUCUUAUCAAAGCUGGAUCAAGCCUCUCCUUGUAGUUGGUUGUGAACACAAUGAUCCUCUCCUCCCCACAACUUGACCACAGCCCAUCGAUGAAGUUCAACAGCCCCGCCAGAGGUAAUGAAUGGUCAUCUCCUGAGCCUUCAUUAUUGUAGUUUAUAUCUGUAGUGCCGUCUUCACCAAUACCACUAGACGCCUGAUGUUGCCUGUUCUGCAACUUAUUGGUGCUGCAAUCUAUGUCCUCGAUCACUAUUAUGGACCGAUUGGAAGUGGAGACCAACAAUU